CUCCGGCUGGUGAGCGCCCGCCAAAGAAUCCCAAAACUCUGAAUAUUUGUGUCGUCUGAGUACUAUAUAAUAGUUAAAACUUUCAACAACGGAUCUCUUGGUUCUGGCAUCGAUGAAGAACGCAGCGAAAUGCGAUAAGUAAUGUGAAUUGCAGAAUUCAGUGAAUCAUCGAAUCUUUGAACGCACAUUGCGCCCCUUGGUAUUCCGAGGGGCAUGCCCGUUCGAGCGUCAUUAUAACCCCUCAAGCCUAGCUUGGUGUUGGGGCCUGCUGUUACCGGCAGCCCUUAAAAUCAGUGGCGGUGCCAUCUGGCUCUAAGCGUAGUAAUACUUCUCGCUACAGGGUCCUGGUGGAUACUUGCCAUCAACCCCUAAAUUUCUAUGGUUGACCUCGGAUCGGGUAGGGAUACCCGCUGAACUUAAGCAUAUCAAUAAGCGGAGGAAAAGAAACCAACAGGGAUUGCCUUAGUAACGGCGAGUGAAGCGGCAACAGCUCAAAUUUGAAAUCUGGCUCUUUCAGAGUCCGAGUUGUAAUUUGUAGAAGAUGCUUCGAGUGUGGUACCGGUCUAAGUUCCUUGGAACAGGACGUCAUAGAGGGUGAGAAUCCCGUAUGUGACUGGUCACCUUCGCUCAUGUGAAGCUCUUUCGACGAGUCGAGUUGUUUGGGAAUGCAGCUCAAAAUGGGUGGUAAAUUUCAUCUAAAGCUAAAUAUUGGCCAGAGACCGAUAGCGCACAAGUAGAGUGAUCGAAAGAUGAAAAGCACUUUGGAAAGAGAGUUAAACAGUACGUGAAAUUGUUGAAAGGGAAGCGCUUGCAACCAGACUUGCACGUAGUUAAUCAUCCGGGGUUCUCCCCGGUGCACUUGGCUACGUUCAGGCCAGCAUCGGUUUUGGUGGUUGGAUAAAGGCCUA
RNAcentral lists this ribosomal RNA (908 nucleotides) under Leotiomycetes sp. genotype 107. Its description in RNAcentral is "eukaryotic LSU rRNA". The stretch from base 384 to 908 matches the Rfam family "Eukaryotic large subunit ribosomal RNA", at positions 1 to 529 of the family's 3401-position model. Lineage: Eukaryota; Fungi; Ascomycota; Leotiomycetes. The record is from RNAcentral.